Molecule: transfer RNA, 83 nt
Filed under: Nitrospiraceae bacterium
Lineage: Bacteria; Pseudomonadati; Nitrospirota; Nitrospiria; Nitrospirales; Nitrospiraceae
Also listed under: 2 other names
Description: tRNA-Leu
Rfam family: tRNA
About the family: Transfer RNA (tRNA) molecules are approximately 80 nucleotides in length. Their secondary structure includes four short double-helical elements and three loops (D, anti-codon, and T loops). Further hydrogen bonds mediate the characteristic L-shaped molecular structure. tRNAs have two regions of fundamental functional importance: the anti-codon, which is responsible for specific mRNA codon recognition, and the 3' end, to which the tRNAs corresponding amino acid is attached (by aminoacyl-tRNA synthetases). tRNAs cope with the degeneracy of the genetic code in two manners: having more than one tRNA (with a specific anti-codon) for a particular amino acid; and 'wobble' base-pairing, i.e. permitting non-standard base-pairing at the 3rd anti-codon position.
Source: RNAcentral
GCGAGAGUGGCGGAAUAGGCAGACGCGCAAGAUUUAGGAUCUUGUGGGGAACCGUGAGGGUUCGAGUCCCUCCUCUCGCACCA